RNAcentral lists this ribosomal RNA (254 nucleotides) under uncultured bacterium. RNAcentral's name for it is "partial 16S ribosomal RNA". It matches the Rfam family "Bacterial small subunit ribosomal RNA", at positions 524 to 776 of the family's 1533-position model. The record is from RNAcentral.
UACGUAGGGUGCAAGCGUUAAUCGGAAUUACUGGGCGUAAAGCGUGCGCAGGCGGUUGUGUAAGACAGAUGUGAAAUCCCCGGGCUCAACCUGGGAACUGCAUUUGUGACUGCACAGCUGGAGUGCGGCAGAGGGGGAUGGAAUUGCCGCGUGUAGCAGUGAAAUGCGUAGAUAUGCGGAGGAACACCGAUGGCGAAGGCAAUCCCCUGGGCCUGCACUGACGCUCAUGCACGAAAGCGUGGGGAGCAAACAGG